GCCAGACAGGGAAACUGCGUACGGCUCAUUACACCAGCCUUAAUUUACUUGACCUUGACAACCUACUUGGAUAACUGUGGUAAUUCUAGAGCUAAUACAUGCACCAAAGCUCCGAUCCCUUGCGGAGAGGAGCGCAUUUGUUCGCCACAAAACCAAGCGCCCUCACGGGCGUUCAGUGUUGACUCAGAAUAACUAAGCUGAUCGCACGGUCUUGCACCGGCGACGUGUCUUUCAAGUGUCUGCCUUAUCAACUUUCGAUGGUAGUGUACCUGACUACCAUGGUGAUGACGGGUAACGGAGGAUCAGGGUUCGACUCCGGAGAAGGGGCCUGAGAAAUGGCCACUACGUCUAAGGAUGGCAGCAGGCGCGCAAAUUACCCACUCUCAACGCGAGGAGGUAGUGACGAGAAAUAACGAGACCGUUCUCACAAGAGGCCGGUCAUCGGAAUGGGUACAACACAAACCCUUUAACGAGUAUCUAUGAGAGGGCAAGUCUGGUGCCAGCAGCCGCGGUAAUUCCAGCUCUCAAAAUGCAUAGAAUUAUUGCUGCGGUUAAAAAGCUCGUAGUUGGAUCUGUGCUGGUCGCCCGGUCCACCCUCUGCGGUGCGCACUGGUGCGGCUGGCUUUCCUGUCCGCUUCCUCACCGGCGUUGGCCUUCAUCGGCAGGCGUCGGCGGGCGGACGAGUUUACUUUGAACAAAUCAGAGUGCUUCACACAGGCGUUUCGCUUGAAUGUUCGUGCAUGGAAUAAUAGAAGAGGAUUUCGGUCCGAUUUUAUUGGUUU
This 782-nucleotide ribosomal RNA is filed under the name Rotylenchus goodeyi. Its description in RNAcentral is "SSU rRNA". It matches the Rfam family "Eukaryotic small subunit ribosomal RNA", at positions 73 to 850 of the family's 1831-position model. The record is from RNAcentral. Lineage: Eukaryota; Metazoa; Nematoda; Chromadorea; Rhabditida; Hoplolaimidae.